AACGAACGCUGGCGGCGUGCCUAACACAUGCAAGUCGAACGAGAAAGGGGCUUCGGCUCCGAGUAAAGUGGCGCACGGGUGAGUAACACGUGGGUAACCUGCCUCUAAGAUUGGGACAACUCGUCGAAAGAUGAGCUAAUACCGAAUAAGACCACAGUUCCUGCGGGAACAGGGGUCAAAGGUAGCCUCUGCUUGCAAGCUAUCACUUAGAGAUGGGCCUGCGCACCAUUAGCUAGUUGGUAGGGUAACGGCCUACCAAGGCAAAGAUGGUUAGCUGGUCUGAGAGGAUGAUCAGCCACACUGGAACUGAGACACGGUCCAGACUCCUACGGGAGGCAGCAGUGGGGAAUAUUGCGCAAUGGGCGAAAGCUUGACGCAGCAACGCCGCGUGAGUGAUGAAGGCCUUCGGGUCGUAAAGCUCUGUCGGGAGGAACGAAUGCUCCUGAGGUUAACAGCCUCGGGAGGUGACGGUACCUUCAAAGGAAGCACCGGCUAACUCUGUGCCAGCAGCCGCGGUAAUACAGAGGGUGCGAGCGUUGUCCGGAAUCACUGGGCGU
This 557-nucleotide ribosomal RNA is filed under the name uncultured bacterium. Its description in RNAcentral is "bacterial SSU rRNA". It matches the Rfam family "Bacterial small subunit ribosomal RNA", at positions 28 to 561 of the family's 1533-position model. The record is from RNAcentral.